AUUGAACGCUGGCGGCAGUCCUAACACAUGCAAGUCGCACGAGUGGCGGACGGGUGUGUAAUGUCUGGGCAACUGCCUGAUGGCUGGGGAUAACUACUGGAAACGGUAGCUAAUACCGCAUACCAUCGGAUGUGCCCAGACGGGAUUAGCUAGUAGGUGGGGUACAGGCUCACCUAGGCGACGAUCCCUAGCUGGUCUGUGAGGCUGACCAGCAACAAUGGAACUGAGGCACGGGCGAGAAUCUUACGGGAGGAAGCAGUGGGGAAAAGGGCACUAGGGGAGCAAGCCUGAUGAAGAAAUGCGGCGUGUAUGAAGAAGGCCUUCGGGUUGGAAAGUACGUUCAGCGAGGAGGCGUUACCGGCAGAAGAAGCACCGGCUAACGCCGUGCCAGCAGCCGCGGUAAUUC
This 406-nucleotide ribosomal RNA is filed under the name uncultured bacterium. RNAcentral describes it as "partial 16S ribosomal RNA". It matches the Rfam family "Bacterial small subunit ribosomal RNA", at positions 29 to 526 of the family's 1533-position model. The record is from RNAcentral.